AACCAAAGUGGGAGUGCACGGGAUGACAGCAGGAAAGUAAAGGAUGAUGGCUGGAGAGAUGGCCUGGGAGUGAAAUGGAGCCUGGCUGGACUCAGUCCCCAAUGCAGUAGGAUGGCUCUGGGAAUAAGGAGAAGAAAAAAGGAGGAAUUGGUGGAUAAAAAGAAAAUAUCGCAAUAAACAUGUUUUUCUUUUUGUUUAAAAAAACUAAUUGAUUUGAAUGACCUGGGAAGAUGGAAUUGAAAGCAUGUUGAGAAUUUUGGCUGAAAAUCAAUUGAGUAACACUGCCAGAACCUUGGGAAACAAAUUCAAAGUAAUUGUGACAAAGCAAAGAAAAGGUCAGAAGAAAAUUCAGUGUGUGAGAUCUCUUAGCAAUCAAAAACAUACUCUCAGGCAAGAGUUCUUAAUUUGAGAUUUCUGAACUUAAUUUUUUUUUCUAAUACUGUGUUUCCCUGUAAUGGACUUCCUUUUUAAUCCUGUGUAGUUCGUUUUAUAUAUUUAAAAACAUUCUUUUGAGAAAAGGAUCCAUAGACUUAUCAG
Molecule: long non-coding RNA, 537 nt
Filed under: Sarcophilus harrisii (Tasmanian devil)
Lineage: Eukaryota; Metazoa; Chordata; Mammalia; Dasyuromorphia; Dasyuridae
Description: lncRNA (ENSSHAG00000031084.1)
Source: RNAcentral